This 30-nucleotide non-coding RNA is filed under the name Rattus norvegicus (Norway rat). Lineage: Eukaryota; Metazoa; Chordata; Mammalia; Rodentia; Muridae. The record is from RNAcentral.
UGAAAAGGAAUUUGCCAAUGAGCUAUAAGA